CGUAAGGAUUUAAAGGUCGAACAGACCUUCCUUUAUAACUGCUGCAUUAUAAGGAUACCUUAAUUCAACAUCGAGGUCGCAACCCUUCCUGUCGAUAUGGACUCUUAAAGAAGAUUACGCUGUUAUCCCUAAAGUAACUUAAUCUUAUGAUCUUUAAAAAAGGAUCAUUAAUUUUUCAGAUAUUUCUGUUAUAAAUGUUAUAAGAACAGUUACCUUUUAUAUUCCCGUCGCCCCAACGCAACAAACACCGUUUAAAAUCAAGUUACACUAACAGUUUAUAAUAUAAACGAUUUAUUGUCAAGCUUUAUAGGGUCUUAUCGUCCCCUUAAUCUAUUUAAGCCUUCUCACUUAAAAGUUAAAUUCAAUUAUUAUAAUUGAGACAGCUUACUUUUUGUCCAACCAUUCAUACAAGCCUUCAAUUAAAAGACUAAUGAUUAUGCUACCUUCGCACGGUCAGUAUACCGCGGCCCUUUAAAUUAAAUCAGUGGGCAGGCCAGACUUUAUAUAACAAUCAUAUAGAC
RNAcentral lists this ribosomal RNA (521 nucleotides) under Penaeus brasiliensis (pinkspotted shrimp). RNAcentral describes it as "partial 16S ribosomal RNA". Lineage: Eukaryota; Metazoa; Arthropoda; Malacostraca; Decapoda; Penaeidae. The record is from RNAcentral.